RNAcentral lists this long non-coding RNA (666 nucleotides) under Elaeis guineensis (African oil palm). Its description in RNAcentral is "long non-coding RNA (EGUI_LNC005491)". Lineage: Eukaryota; Viridiplantae; Streptophyta; Magnoliopsida; Arecales; Arecaceae. The record is from RNAcentral.
CCCCCUCCUUCCAUUGAGAGAACCCCUGUAAAAUCUAUAAAGAAAGGUGGAUCAAGGAUUCUAUAGGCGUUUUCAUAUAUGAAUUCCAAAUAAAAUGGAUAGAAACAUCUAGGUGCUCCUAAUACAUCCAUCUUUUAAUAGGACAUAAGAACUCAAAUAGUUUUCAGCCUUACCAAACCGCAAAAAUAAUAUGUAAAGAACGUACAACCUGAUACUGCGAUCUUGCUUCCAAUAAUACCUUUCCCCGAAGACAUCGACCAUCUGAGCGCAAGAUACUAAACAAAUAUGGCGUAGCGCAUGCCAUCACGUACCAUGAGUUCAUCCAUGUCCGGGACUGUGACAUGCUCGACCCCGCCAUCGGUCCGACCCAUGAUGCAGGAGACGAGCUCGAGCGGUUUCCGCACAAUAUCCAGCACGGCUGAAAGCCAAUACCGAUCCCCAUGGCCAUGGCCAUGCUCGACUCUCGAGAGAGAGCGCUCAUCGGCGACGCGGGCACUCCAUUUCCGCCCAAGCAGGCUUUGGCUUACGGCGGACAGGAAUCGGCGCAUGGUGCCAGGGUUGGAGGGACUGGGGGUGACAGUUCCGAUUGAGGAGGCCUCCUCACCACUCUUUUUUUAUGUUUUUCUUUUCCUCGUGGGUUGGUGAAUGGUGAUGGCAUAGUGGAGG